AAGGCUUUAAGUUAAUUAAACUCGUAGCCUUCAAAGUUAUCAAUAAAGAAAAUUCUUUAGGCCUUA
This 66-nucleotide transfer RNA is filed under the name Bittacus planus. RNAcentral's name for it is "tRNA-Trp". Lineage: Eukaryota; Metazoa; Arthropoda; Insecta; Mecoptera; Bittacidae. The record is from RNAcentral.